RNAcentral lists this transfer RNA (69 nucleotides) under Rattus norvegicus (Norway rat). It matches the Rfam family "tRNA". Rfam says of the family: Transfer RNA (tRNA) molecules are approximately 80 nucleotides in length. Lineage: Eukaryota; Metazoa; Chordata; Mammalia; Rodentia; Muridae. The record is from Rfam by way of RNAcentral.
GGGGAUUUAGCUCAGCAGUAGAGCGCUUGCCUAGCAAGCGAAAGGCCCUGGGUUCGGUCCCCAGCUCCG